GGGGGGGGUGGAUAAUGUCCGGAUAGACGGUUUUAAACUGAUCCGUGGCUCUAGGUAGGAUUUGUCGCGUCAGCAAAGUCAAGAAGGCGAAGGCACAAGAACAAAAGCGACUUUUCAAUUUUUUUUUACUCAGAAAGAAAAGGGGAGUGAAUAUGCACCCAACCCACCAAUGUACCCGCUCCUGGGUUUUAGUUUAUACAAAUAGAUGGAGCCGCUUUCAAAGCACGAGUUUAAAAGAUCUCGAUGUUGAGUUAGCAGGAAGUGCAUGCUAUCCGAGCCGAGUAAAUGGGUUUCCGGUGUAUUGUACAACUCACGUGACUUGUAAUUCAUGUUAUUAUACAUUGUGCUCACUAUGUCGACUCUGAUUGGCUAAGAGUGUGCGCUUUAUUUUGAGAAUCACACAAUCUGAGGGUCCUCACUGAUCCGCUAGCAGAUAAUUGAUACUACGCGCGCAAUGCAUCUUGGGCUGAAGGUCUUUACUGAUCCGCUAGCAGAUAAUUGAUUCUACGCGCGCAAUGCAUCUUGGGUCUAGGGCGCGAAGAUUCGAUUGUUAGAAAUGGCGGCAUUUGUGCAAAUCGGGAAUAAAUUUUCUUCCCGAUAAAGUGUUUUUUUAAUUCGGUUUUUAGUGAUAUCCGAAAUAAACAAUGUUUUGCCAAGUGCCAACUGCCAAGUCUCGGCGAUCCGAGUUCGAGUUAUCGGGGUUUCGAUGUAUCGUGUAUAUCAAGUGAUUUGUAAUUUGCCACAACAAAAUCCUAUCGCGUCAACCUUGAUUAUAACCUGCCAUCGUGACAUUUGAGAUUAAAGGUAGUAUAUUGUAUUUGCUUUUCAUUUGUGCUUAACGAGUGACACAUGUAAAACGAUUAAGGAACAGUAAUAAAUUUAAGCAAGGAAUUUAAUCAAAUUUGCCAUUGAUAAAGCUUUCAGUGUGCAAUAUCUUAUUCAAUUAAACAGUGGAUUUAAGUUACUUAGUUGUAUCUAAGGUGAUUUAGUGAUGUACAAUAUGCAGGAAAGAGCAUUUUUAGGAGUUAUUCUCAUAGAGUGUGAAUUUCCUGAACUAAUAACCGCAGGUUAGUUUCAUUUGCUUUAGGGAAUUCGAUGUGUUUGGUGAUAAACACAGUAUACACAAACACAACAAUUGUAAUCUAAUUUCUAGUGUCCGAAUGUACAUAAAGAGAAUAAUAAGAAAAAAUACUGACAAAGUAAAUGCAAGUCGGGGUAAGGAAGAUGAAGUGUAAUAGACUUGAAGAGAGACAAGAAAAUAGGAAAAUGGAAAGUUGCAGAAGAUGUGCAGCAUUGAUAUGGCCGUCAGCUCAACGAGUUGCUUCCUUGCCUAAGAUUCCGUGCGCUAAAACACACAAAGAACGAGUCGUUUGUCUGCGAUUCUGACAGCAAAGGCCAACAGAAUAACUUACUGGACGCGAAAAUCAAGAAUUCGUGAAAGUGGCGGCAAAAGGACUACAGGGUUAGGGAGAACAAGUAUAAAGAGAAGUUUAAACAGCAUGUUUAAAGCUUAAUGUAUAGGACUGGUCUCCUCGGUGACAAUUCAAGUGCUGCGAAUGACGCUCGUUUGACACUUUAAUCAAAUUCUCUUUUUUUAAUGUAACUUGAAACUCUUCGUUGUGAGGUACUUGUAGCAAAAGAGCUUAUUUCUAGUCUUUGUUGCGUCUCUAUAGCAAAGUACAUUAAAAGAGGAAUUUGGCAAAUCUUAAUAGAUAUCCUAGUAUCCUAUGAAUAUUUAACAAAAAUAAUUAACUACAAAAAGACACUCCUAACGAAUUUCAUACAAAAGAAGAAAGCAUUGGGCAUAUACUUAUUUGGAAAUGGCAUAGUUUAAUGGCGUAACAUAGAAAUGGCUAAAGCUAAUAAGGGCAAGGUUUCCUGAGAUUUCAUUUUUUCCCCAAAAUAUAGUGGCAUAUACGCUUAUCCAUUAUAUUAUUGUGUAACUUUAGAGCUUGAUUAUUAUUUUUAUUCUCAUUAAGUUAUCUAACUUUGUGGAAUGUCUAGUGACCUAAGUGGAGUAUGCAACAAAGACCACAAAAAGAACAUGAAAAAAGUGACUUACCCCAGCGAGCAUGUGAGAGACAGCAGAACGACGCGCACAGUAAGAAUGGGAAAUUGCUCUAUGAUGAAUCCCACAAGCUUUUGUUUAUCCUUAUACGUCAUAUUAUUGACACUUUAUCGCAUGACACAUGACAUACGAUAGCGGUAGCUUUCCAUUCAGAAGAAAGAGCUAAAACCACCGAAUUUUUUAGCCUACGUUUUCCACAUCGGUCACUUUGCACACGACUGGCUUCCACACUGACUAUUGCAGCCAGUUAGAAGCGAAAGUAUAGCUUGAACAAUUGCAUGAUUGACGUGAAACACCUGCCCUAAAACGUGUAAGCAAGUCGUCAAAGAGAGCUGUCGUUUUCUCGCAUACGAUUUAUCUGUCCUUCGUUUUUAAUUCUCUUUCCACUUCGCACCUGGUCACAUUUAUCAUAAAGCCAAUUUAAUCUCUUGAUACCGCUUAUUUUAUUACAGUAUUUUAAUUUUGUAUCACUUUCAGCUAUACUGAAAGACAAACAAAAAAAACACUUUCUUUCUCUAUUUUGUCAAGAGAGCUUUCUUUUGCCCAUUGUGACAAAAUCAUAGAAAACUUCAAUCGCAUUAUCUGGCUACUACUUGUUAUACCUCGAUUUCAAUCAAAACUCAGAAUAUGAAUUUAAACUUGGUUAUAAGGUUUAAAGGUGUACAAGCACCUUUAUUUAAAUAAAUAAAAUCGAACUAAUCCAGAAAAGUGCACUUUAAUGAUGAUGUAGUAAGAGUAUAUUUUGAAAUUGUUACCAUUGAUGCGUUUGAUCACACGCUGUGCUUCUGUGAACUCUCCGUGUGAAUGGCGCUAAUGGGCACAAUAAAAGGCUUUAUUUGUUUUCAAUAUUGGCCAUGUUUGGGGUGGGAAUAUUCAAGAAAAUCGUUUUAAAACAUUAUCUUUAACCUAAUCUCAAACUUCUCAGCUCAUAAAAAAGGAAGCAAACAAUAAAAUUUUCUUACAAUCUAAUUUGAUGCGUAUUGUGUGGUGGAACGGAAUAAAACGGACCGGAAUGGGAAGUCAGAGAAACGGAAACUAAGAGAGGAGAAAAAGAAAGAAGAAAAAAGGGGAGGAGAAGACGAGAGGGAAAUAGGAAGAGGAAAAAGAGGAGGAGAAAACAGUAAUAAAAAGGACUAGAGAGAUUAGGAAGGCUGGGAUGGGAAAUCAGAAAAAAGAAGGAUGAAUUGAAAUAAAAACCAUUCGAGAGGAGUGGAAGCCGAAAAGGCUGAAAAAAUGAAAUAAAAUGAAAUAGAGAGAGCGGGAGUCAUGAGAGAAUAGAAUGAAAUAACAAGUAACAUAUAAAGUAUAUGAAAGCCGAACGGAAAGGAGGAGGUGGAGAAAUACAUACAAUUGAAACCCCGAUAACUCGAAGUGAUUUUUACUCUAACUCGAACUCUACCCUGGUCCCAGAGCCUCGAGCGUCUCUCUAUUUAGUUACCAGCGAGGUUACCUCGCUGACCACUAAAUAGAGAGACGUUCGAGGCUCUGGAACCAGGGUACUAGAACUCCCCGCCAACUCGAACUAGUUUCAAGUUCCCUAGAGUAAUUUUCAGUCAUUUCUUAUCGGGUAACUCGAAAUCCCCGCAAAGUCGAAUUCUAUCUUUUUUCACCUCCCUGGAGGCGGAUAGUAACGGGGCUCUACUUUUUUAUGUUUUAUCAUCCGCGACUUUUGAACCCUCGCUUGACGGGGAACCUUGCGCAGUACGCCACUGCCUGCUUGGAAUUGUUAGCGGCUUUUGAAAUAUUUAUCGACCAAGGGUCCGCUAUCAUAAACAUGUCUAUCUUGAAUUUAAAUUAAUUUUGCAACUGUCAAACACUUUCGUAACAAAGUAUACCCUUGAGGGGUGUGUAGGGAAUAAAAACAAUGAACUCGCGUUGUCCGGUUCCGAUUCACUGACGGUAGGAUAUCUGUGAUAAUUUCAUGGUCGAGUUGAUAAACCCACAAAACUAUAUAACACAUGCCACUGAGGAAUGAGCUCGCAUUACAACAGAAAUGUAGUGUAGUUCUUCCGUGAACAUGUUCAAAGCACUUACAGUGCCGAAUUAUCGUGAGUGUUUUCCUCGAAGCUGACAUAAAGCAAUCAGUGAUGACGCACACAUCUCAUCACUUAGCUACAUUUGUUGCCUCGCAUUAAAAUAAUAUCAAUCAUAUAUUGAAAUGAAAAAGAAAACAAUCAUAGUUACCUUUUCAGCAAGAGCUUGCUUGACUGCAACAAAACAACAAAAUAAAACGAAUCUUUGUAUCGUAUUUCCUUCUCCAGCAGCGAAGAAUUCAUGAAUGUUGUGAUUAUUGUGUUUUCACAAGCCAGAAGAGUCUAAUUCGAAAUUCUGCUUCCUCAAUAUGAUUACUGGGGACUUCGACACCUUGUAUAUCUUCCCAAUUGGUGAUGUAACUUGGGUAAUCAACACUCAAUCAGUCUCUUUGCAUUUGAGUCAAGAACAUGUCACGUCUGCUCGAUAUCACGAUACAAUUCUCCUAAUGAUUGCCUUGUCAUCUGAGAUUCAGAUUGUCAGAGAGAUGAACAUCUACACACCAGGGAUCCAAACGGAUCAACCAUUUGAAACGCUGCUGGUUGGAUCGAUAAUUGAUUCUUCUAGUAUCCUUUAUCAAGGAAUUUCAAAUCUAAUUAUCACCCUUAUGAUGGAAUUAUUAUAAUCGGUUUUACAAAUAAGUUACAGCAUUCCAAGAUUCAGUACACAGAUAACUCGAUGCCCCGGCUAGAAGUUCCAUUUUGCAUUGAGGUUAAAAUCCACUUGAGACUAGAAAUAUGCCAUUUGUAUUGGUCCGUAAAUUAAAUCCCCAAAUCCCCACUCAGAUCAAGCGCAGAGAAUUCUUGCAUAUCCUUAUUUUGUUGAUCCACUCCUCUAGUUAGAGAUAGGAUACAUUUCAGUAUGAUGAGGGUAAAAGCUUCCCUGCUAGCAGAGGUCUCUUUUCCUCGCGAACGCCAGCCCAGCGAAAUACAGAGAAAAGAGGCCUCUGCUAGCAGAGAAGUUAAAAGCUUGAUUGCUUCUGCUUUCACUUUCCUCGACAGUACAUCUGACCCCUAUUAAAAUGCGAAACACAUUCUGAAAGUGAAAACACCCCAGAAAUGAAACCAUACAUUCGGAUGACCCCAUCGAUAUGGCAGCUAAUUGCUUUGCGUAUGGGCUGUAGAAAAGGACCUAUCACCAAAAUAUUUCCUGCGAAUAUUACUGUGCAAUGCUCUUGCAAGGUAUAUACUACACGCAUAUUUUUAGGAAGGCAAUUACCAGGUUUCUAGCGCUGUCUUGUUACGCGACGCACAGCUUGCUGAGAUAUAGCGUAAAAGGUAGUACACUUAAAAGCACGCGAGCUUACAGGGGAUUUUGCUGUCACAUUUUCUAGAUAUCACAAUUAAUAUUUUAAUAUUUACUAUAUAUUUCCCUUGUUGAAAAUUAGGCCUCGUUCACACGGUACCGGUCGAGUUUUUGGCCGCUCAAACGUUAUUUGUUUAUUCUGUAUGUAAGGAUUAGGAUUCCGUGUAAACACCCCUUUCGUUACGAAUAUAGAGCUGUCAAAAAUUUCAACGGCAUCGCUUGUAUAAAGGUAUACAACGAGUUUUAAGAUGCACUUAAAGUGAACUGAUGAGAUCAAAGCCAUAUCUCUAUUUCAGUUAGUAAGCAGCAAUUUUUUAUCGGGAGAGGGAACACUACCAAAA
This is a long non-coding RNA of Nematostella vectensis (starlet sea anemone), 5745 nucleotides long. RefSeq lists it as uncharacterized. The transcript is spliced from 2 exons. NCBI's taxonomy places the organism in Eukaryota, Metazoa, Cnidaria, Anthozoa, Actiniaria, Edwardsiidae. The record is from RefSeq and is a predicted model, not a curated record.